AAUGGGGGAAACCCUGAUGCAGCAAUGCCGCGUGAGGGAAGACGGUUUUCGGAUUGUAAACCUCUGUCUUCGGUGACGAAACAAAUGACGGUAGCCGAAGAGGAAGCUCCGGCUAACUACGUGCCAGCAGCCGCGGUAAUACGUAGGGAGCAAGCGUUGUCCGGAAUUACUGGGUGUAAAGGGAGCGUAGGCGGGUAGUCAAGUCAGAUGUGAAAUUUAAGGGCUUAACCCUUAACGUGCAUUUGAAACUGGUUAUCUUGAGUGAAGUAGAGGCAGGCGGAAUUCCUAGUGUAGCGGUGAAAUGCGUAGAUAUUAGGAGGAACACCAGUGGCGAAGGCGGCCUGCUGGGCUUUUACUGACGCUGAGGCUCGAAAGCGUGGGGAGCAAA
This 388-nucleotide ribosomal RNA is filed under the name uncultured bacterium. RNAcentral's name for it is "bacterial SSU rRNA". It matches the Rfam family "Bacterial small subunit ribosomal RNA", at positions 370 to 772 of the family's 1533-position model. The record is from RNAcentral.